This 440-nucleotide ribosomal RNA is filed under the name uncultured bacterium. Its description in RNAcentral is "partial 16S ribosomal RNA". It matches the Rfam family "Bacterial small subunit ribosomal RNA", at positions 338 to 795 of the family's 1533-position model. The record is from RNAcentral.
CCUACGGGAGGCAGCAGUGGGGAAUAUUGCACAAUGGGGGAAACCCUGAUGCAGCGACGCCGCGUGAGUGAAGAAGUAUCUCGGUACGUAAAGCUCUAUCAGCAGGGAAGAAAAUGACGGUACCUGACUAAGAAGCUCCGGCUAACUACGUGCCAGCAGCCGCGGUAAUACGUAGGGGGCAAGCGUUAUCCGGAUUUACUGGGUGGAAAGGGAGCGUAGACGGCAGGACAAGUCUGGUGUGAAAUCCCGGGGCUUAACCCCGGAACUGCGUUGGAAACUGGGCGGCUGGAGUGUAGUAGGGGGAAGCGGAAUUCCUAGUGUAGCGGUGAAAUGCGUAGAUAUGAGGAGGAACACCGGUGGCGAAGGCGGUUUACUGGACUGUAACUGACGUUGAGGCUCGAAAGCGUGGGGAGCAAACAGGAUUAGAUACCCGGGUAGUC